ACAGAUUGUGAUUCAAUAGGGCUGAGGGCCCAAGACUGCAUUUCCAGCCAGCUCCAAAGUAAUGCUGAUAACCACAGUGAGCACCAAAGCCAAAUGCCAAAAACCAAAAAGGAUGGCAAGAAUCAACCACAGGGGACAUCAGAGGACCACAGGUGGAGGAGAAGAGGCGAAAGUGGAAGCAACACAGCUGGAAAUGCUGGGACGUGCAGCAUUCUAUACUGCAAGUAGGCCCCAUGAAACAACCCUAAGGCAAGAAAGCAUCCACUAUGCUCAGAGAACAGCAAGGUGGCCCAGUUGGGUAGAGCAGAGUGACCUGUAGGAAGAAUAAUGGAUGUCAGGAGGAUUACUCUGGAUGCUAUGCUGAGAAGAAACUGAAGACAAUGGUGGAAGUGGGAAAGCUUAUGACUCAGAAUAACUAUUUCUAAUAACAAAUUUUAAGUUCUCUUCAUGGUAUUAAGAAGAGAGAAAGAAUCUGAGAAAUUAUGGCGUACUCAACUGUGGACAGCUGAAAGUCUGGCAUAGCGUGCCCUCAUCAUCACAAAUGGGCUCGCAUUACAAGCUACACUUAUUUGACAACUAUCAGCAUUUGUCAACCGGCACUCAGAUUUGAAGACUCAUUUCACAGCUGGAGCAAGAGAAGACAGGAAGGAAAAAUCAGAGUAAGGUUUCAAUGAGUUUCUGCAAAUUCUCAGAAGUUUUGCUGCCACUCAGUGUCACAAUAACAAAAAGAAAUAAAAAUAGCUGAUAUUUACUAAACAUCUACUCUGUGCCAUUUUAAGUGCUUUACAUAUAUCGGCUCAUUAAAUUUUAACAACCACAUAAGGUAGGUACUAUUGAUAGUUCCCAGUUUAUACA
Molecule: long non-coding RNA, 855 nt
Filed under: Homo sapiens (human)
Lineage: Eukaryota; Metazoa; Chordata; Mammalia; Primates; Hominidae
Description: HSALNT0381251
Source: RNAcentral